UACGGAGGAUCCGAGCGUUAUCCGGAUUUAUUGGGUUUAAAGGGUGCGCAGGCGGUUUGAUAAGUUAGAGGUGAAAUGUCGGGGCUCAACCCCGAAACUGCCUCUAAUACUGUUGGACUAGAGAAUAGUUGCGGUAGGCGGAAUGUAUGGUGUAGCGGUGAAAUGCUUAGAGAUCAUACAGAACACCGAUUGCGAAGGCAGCUUACCAAACUAUAUCUGACGUUGAGGCACGAAAGCGUGGGUAGCAAACAGG
Molecule: ribosomal RNA, 253 nt
Filed under: uncultured bacterium
Lineage: Bacteria
Description: partial 16S ribosomal RNA
Rfam family: Bacterial small subunit ribosomal RNA
Source: RNAcentral